This 240-nucleotide ribosomal RNA is filed under the name uncultured Lactobacillus sp. Its description in RNAcentral is "partial 16S ribosomal RNA". It matches the Rfam family "Bacterial small subunit ribosomal RNA", at positions 122 to 354 of the family's 1533-position model. The record is from RNAcentral. Lineage: Bacteria; Bacillati; Bacillota; Bacilli; Lactobacillales; Lactobacillaceae.
UAACCUGCCCAAGAGAUCGGGAUAACACCUGGAAACAGAUGCUAAUACCGGAUAACAACAGAUGAUGCCUAUCAACUGUUUAAAAGNUGGUUCUGCUAUCACUCUUGGAUGGACCUGCGGUGCAUUAGCUAGUUGGUAGGGUAACGGCCUACCAAGGCGAUGAUGCAUAGCCGAGUUGAGAGACUGAUCGGCCACAUUGGGACUGAUACACGGCCCAAACUCCUACGGGAGGCAGCAGAA